Molecule: ribosomal RNA, 253 nt
Filed under: uncultured bacterium
Lineage: Bacteria
Description: partial 16S ribosomal RNA
Rfam family: Bacterial small subunit ribosomal RNA
Source: RNAcentral
UACAGAGGGGGCAAGCGUUGUUCGGAAUUACUGGGCGUAAAGGGCGCGUAGGCGGCCCGCUAAGUCGAACGUGAAAUCCCCGGGCUCAACCCGGGAACUGCGUCCGAUACUGGCGGGCUUGAAUCCGGGAGAGGGAUGCGGAAUUCCAGGUGUAGCGGUGAAAUGCGUAGAUAUCUGGAGGAACACCGGUGGCGAAGGCGGCAUCCUGGACCGGCAUUGACGCUGAGGCCCGAAAGCCAGGGGAGCAAACGGG